UUACACCUGCCACAUUUCAUUUUUAUACAGGUUCAUAUUAACCUUCUGUACUACAAAGUGUUGUCCUCUUUCAUGGCGACUCAGACUGAGUUCCUGAGAAGACACCUCACGUCCCCCCUUAAUAAAAAGGCAGAAGGACAUACAGUCUAAACAAAAUGACGCCAGAGGAUUUGAACCUUCUCCACGUGUCUGCUUACCCUCUUCCCUUACCAACAGUCUUCCAUCAUCAAGAUAUUAGGGGUGAAGGGGACUCAUUUUUCAUCUGAGUGCUUGGAAGAUCUGUGAUGAUAUACAAGUGGUGCAUACAGAAAAAGUUACCAUCUGUUACUCCUGGAAAUAAAACUGCAGGCACAAGUGCA
RNAcentral lists this long non-coding RNA (359 nucleotides) under Struthio camelus australis. RNAcentral describes it as "lncRNA (ENSSCUG00000012186.1)". The record is from RNAcentral. Lineage: Eukaryota; Metazoa; Chordata; Aves; Struthioniformes; Struthionidae.